Molecule: long non-coding RNA, 511 nt
Organism: Sorex fumeus (smoky shrew)
Lineage: Eukaryota; Metazoa; Chordata; Mammalia; Eulipotyphla; Soricidae
Exons: 5
Source: RefSeq, a predicted model, not a curated record
CGGCCUUUCGCUUCCGCGGCGCGCUGCGCCCUCCUCUCUCGUGCGCUUCCGCUCGCUGCGCUUCGCACCGACCUGGGCAUGGCAUCGCGGGUCCGCAGGACACGGCGCCGGGAGCGCACGGCGUGGACCUCGCAGGGGGCGGCGGCGGCGGCUGGGGGCUCCCAGCGAGCCGCCUGCGACCUUCUGCCUGCGCGCCCCUGCCUUGGGGCUCAGGUAUGAAGCGGACUGGAAUGGAUCCGUAGGAACUCACAAGAGAGGAAUGUCUCCUGAGUGACCACGUGCUCGUGAGAUGGAUCUGCGGCAUGGUGUGGAGGCUUGGAGACGGGACCGUAAGGUUGCCAGCAGCCUGGUCUUACCAUCACAGCUAUUGGAGGCAGUUGCCCAGCUGAAGUUGGAAUGAAAUGUUGAGGAAGGUCAGCUUCUCAGAGAGGCCCACAGACUCAAGUAGCCUGAACCAAUGUUAAUCAGAUUUAUAGAUUUAUUUUUUAAAUAAAAAUCCUUUGAUUUUUCG